RNAcentral lists this ribosomal RNA (441 nucleotides) under uncultured bacterium. Its description in RNAcentral is "bacterial SSU rRNA". It matches the Rfam family "Bacterial small subunit ribosomal RNA", at positions 337 to 795 of the family's 1533-position model. The record is from RNAcentral.
UCCUACGGGGGGCAGCAGUAGGGAAUAUUGGUAAUCUGGGAAACCGGGAACCAGCAACGCCGCGUGCGCGAUGAAGGCCUUCGGGUUGUAAAGCGCUUUUUGAGAGGAUGAGGAAGGACAGUACUCUUAGAAUAAGCCUCGGCUAACUACGUGCCAGCAGCCGCGGUAAAACGUAGGAGGCGAGCGUUAUCCGGAUUUACUGGGCGUAAAGCGUGUGUAGGCGGUUUGAUAAGUUGGAUGUGAAAGCUCCUGGCUUAACUGGGAGAGGUCGUUCAAAACUAUCAGACUUGAGAGUGGUAGAGGGAGGUGGAAUUCCGCAUGUAGUGGUGAAAUGCGUAGAUAUGCGGAGGAACUCCAGUGGCGAAAGCGGCCUCCUGGCCCAUUUCUGACGCUCAGACACGAAAGCUAAGGUAGCAAACGGGAUUAGAUACCCCUGUAGUC